UUGCACUAAGUUAUGUUCAUUUUAUUAUGUACAUUUUAUCAUGCAUGCUAAUUUCUGAUUAAAUUAACUCUUUCUAUUUUUUCUAUUUGACAAUCGGGAUGUUGUAAAAGAUAUUCCGAUACACUUACGUGAAUUGGAAAAGAUCUUCUUCAUCGGUUGGAGUCCACUUGAGUCUUUAUGUAUACACACACACACA
Molecule: long non-coding RNA, 196 nt
Organism: Rhodamnia argentea
Lineage: Eukaryota; Viridiplantae; Streptophyta; Magnoliopsida; Myrtales; Myrtaceae
Exons: 3
Source: RefSeq, a predicted model, not a curated record